UCCUCCCGCUGCCGCUUUUGGUACUGGGGACGUGGCCAAAGUCUGCAGAGGAAAAGAUCACGGCACCCCCUUGAGGCAAGGAAAUAAGAAAACUCCCUCUGAUCCGAGCAAAGCAGGUCCAACUUCAAUGGCGGAUCUGGUGGCCUUGGAGUGGCUGAAGACACCCACCCUCCACAGGGCUGCACUCAGGCACACAGCCAUUCUUCCUUUCCCAGAGUGAGCUUCUUCUGCACGUUGUUUAUAUCAUUGACAGAGCCUGUAGUUGGAAAGAGGGCCGAGUGACGACUGGACUUUGUAUGAAAACACCAACCUGGGACAGACCUUCAGUCAAUGCUGAGACAGGGUUGGAGGUAUAGAACGUGGCCUUGUCUUUAACUUGGAUCGUGACUGGCUCUGAGGGUAAGGCAGGGGCAGAGGAGGGGCUGAGGUUUGCCUAAAAGCUGGAAUCAGUGGCCCUGCCAACCCUAGAGCCAAGGCUAAGAUCCAGGCCAAGUCUGGAGCAGUGGCCAGGACACAGACAGUGACCUACACUGAGGCCGUGGCU
RNAcentral lists this long non-coding RNA (544 nucleotides) under Lynx canadensis (Canada lynx). RNAcentral's name for it is "lncRNA (ENSLCNG00005019305.1)". Lineage: Eukaryota; Metazoa; Chordata; Mammalia; Carnivora; Felidae. The record is from RNAcentral.